RNAcentral lists this transfer RNA (58 nucleotides) under Canis lupus familiaris (dog). It matches the Rfam family "tRNA", at positions 8 to 63 of the family's 71-position model. Rfam says of the family: Transfer RNA (tRNA) molecules are approximately 80 nucleotides in length. Their secondary structure includes four short double-helical elements and three loops (D, anti-codon, and T loops). Lineage: Eukaryota; Metazoa; Chordata; Mammalia; Carnivora; Canidae. The record is from Rfam by way of RNAcentral. RNAcentral also lists the same sequence under 1 other name.
UGGCUCAGUCAGUAGAGCAUGUGACUCUUAAUCUCAAGAUCAUGAGUUCAAACCUCAC